RNAcentral lists this ribosomal RNA (466 nucleotides) under uncultured bacterium. RNAcentral's name for it is "partial 16S ribosomal RNA". It matches the Rfam family "Bacterial small subunit ribosomal RNA", at positions 28 to 507 of the family's 1533-position model. The record is from RNAcentral.
GAUGAACGCUGGCGGCGUGCUUAACACAUGCAAGUCGAACGAUGAAGCCCAGCUUGCUGGGUGGAUUAGUGGCGAACGGGUGAGUAACACGUGAGUAACCUGCCCUUAACUCUGGGAUAAGCCUGGGAAACUGGGUCUAAUACCGGAUAGGAGCGUCCACCGCAUGGUGGGUGUUGGAAAGAUUUAUCGGUUUUGGAUGGACUCGCGGCCUAUCAGCUUGUUGGUGAGGUAAUGGCUCACCAAGGCGACGACGGGUAGCCGGCCUGAGAAGGUGACCGGCCACACUGGGACUGAGACACGGCCCAGACUCCUACGGGAGGCAGCAGUGGGGAAUAUUGCACAAUGGGCGAAAGCCUGAUGCAGCGACGCCGCGUGAGGGAUGACGGCCUUCGGGUUGUAAACCUCUUUCAGUAGGGAAGAAGCGAAAGUGACGGUACCUGCAGAAGAAGCACCGGCUAACUACGUG